RNAcentral lists this transfer RNA (72 nucleotides) under Opisthorchis viverrini. It matches the Rfam family "tRNA". From Rfam's summary of the family: Transfer RNA (tRNA) molecules are approximately 80 nucleotides in length. The record is from Rfam by way of RNAcentral. Lineage: Eukaryota; Metazoa; Platyhelminthes; Trematoda; Opisthorchiida; Opisthorchiidae.
GGUCACGAUUUCUAGCGGUUAGGAUUUCCGGCUCUCACCCGGACGGCCCGGGUUCGACUCCCGGCGCGAGCA